GGGAAAUUACACUUUUUGCACCUAUUUCUAUUAAAAAAUAGAACAUAACCAUAGACUUAUUUCAAGUUGUUGCUAGUAGAUUAUUAUUUUAUUUCAUGAAAGGGCAUUUUGAAUCCUCCAAUAAUGCCAUCUCACUUGUGGAUUCACCAUUUUUUCCUCCUUUCAUAAGUGGCCCAAGCAAUUCUCCUCUAUCAAAAAAGAACUCUGCCUUAACAAUCUUGUUACUCUCUUUCUCCAAUUCAAAAAUGCCAAUUCCAAAGAGCUCAACAAGUUGUCCAGUUGCAACAUAUCCUUUAAAUGGACCAUCCAUGUAACCCCAAUGCCUAAACUUGUACACAAUUUCUGGUGGUCCUGAAUAAACAUGAAGGACUUCGAUCGCGAAUCCACGUACAAAUAUUGAUCUAAAUACAUUUUGUGAUGAUUCAAAUGUUUCAUCCUCAGGAUUAUAGACUCUUAGAUUUUCUGGCAAUGAAGUUUGUAGGAAUGUGUUGUAACCACCACCAAGCUUUACAGCUUCUUCCGGUGUUAACCCUUUCCUUCCAUUGACACUCUUCUUGAACUUUGUUGGAUCAACAGAUUUCAUCUCAUUAGGAUCUAUUUUGUGAACUAAUUCCAUUUCCCAAGUCUUCAAUAGCCUUUGUACUUUAUCUUCAACUGAUCCUUCAGCCCAUACAUGAGUUCUUUCUUGUUCAAAGAGCUUAUCAACAACAUCAUAACUAGGAGGUCCAUUUCUCCAUUUUGUGUUUUUGAGCUCUUCAUCACUCAAGUAGUCUCUGUAUUUGUUUCCCCCUCCUACUAUUGAACUUGCC
This 809-nucleotide unclassified non-coding RNA is filed under the name Hevea brasiliensis (rubber tree). Lineage: Eukaryota; Viridiplantae; Streptophyta; Magnoliopsida; Malpighiales; Euphorbiaceae. The record is from RNAcentral.